CAGGCAGAGAGAUGGAGAGGAAGAAGAGAGUGAGAUGGAGGUAGAGAGAGUUUGGGAAAGGGAAAAUGAGGGAGAGAGAGAGAGCGACAGAAAGAGAGGGAGACAAAGAGAGAGAGGGCAUGAGAGAGAGAGACAGAAAGAGAGGGAGACAAAGAGAGAGAGGGCAUGAGAGAGAGAGAGACAGAGAGAGAGGGAGACAAAGAGAGAGACGGCGUGAGAGAGAGAGAGAGAUAGUGGGGUACGGAGAGAGAAGGAGAGACAGAGAGAGGGUGAAAGGGAGAGAUCGAAAUGAAAAACAGCUUCAUUAAAUUUCACGCGCUUUCACACGAGCAGUGCGAAAUGCGUGUUAAUACGCAGUGGCGUGAUUGGUCGACACCAGAGCCAAUCACGCAGACAGACGGAGCGGGAGGCGGCGCAACAGACGCCGCGGCCUGAUUGGGACCCGAGAUGAUGCCAACGACAACCGCCACUGCUCGGAAUUAUGGGAUGGCUUGUCAGGCUUACAUAAACCUGAUGGGUGUCGCCAUUACUCUUCGUCAAACAACACAACAACACAAAUGGAGCUGUGUUUACCUCUAAGGUCUGUCCAGAGGUCCUGUAGCGCUGUGCACAGCAGCAGCAGCAGGAGAGGCAGGCAGACAGUGAGGCUGUGUUUAUAAAUAGCCUCCACUCCGCCCGUCUGUCACACACACUCUCGUCUCGGACACCUACCAGCCCCCACUGGCCGACCCACGGGCGCCGCCAACCCACAGAUGUCCUCGCCCGCCCCAGCACUCACUAGCGCCCCCUAUGCCUCAGCUCACACCCCGUGUGUGCCUGCAUGUCUGUCACUAUGAAUCAUUAUAAAGCGCCAGCUUCAAACAAUUUGAAGAGAAAUAUCGAAAAAAUAUUAUUUGGUCUUUUUUUGUCACAUCCACCCAGUAAAGCCAGGAGAGAUCACAGCCUCACUUUGUAUAACAUGUAAUUGUGCUUGAGUAAUUAAUAAAUGCAGGCAUUCAGUUAAACAAACUUUGAAACUGUUGUUUGUAGGUUAAGAUGAAUUUUUAUCAGUUACAGUCAUGAGUC
Molecule: long non-coding RNA, 1065 nt
Organism: Clupea harengus (Atlantic herring)
Lineage: Eukaryota; Metazoa; Chordata; Actinopteri; Clupeiformes; Clupeidae
Source: Ensembl